Molecule: ribosomal RNA, 433 nt
Filed under: uncultured bacterium
Lineage: Bacteria
Description: bacterial SSU rRNA
Rfam family: Bacterial small subunit ribosomal RNA
Source: RNAcentral
AACGAACGCUGGCGGCAGGCCUAACACAUGCAAGUCGAGCGCGCCUUUCGGGGUGAGCGGCGGACGGGUUAGUAACGCGUGGGAACGUACCCUUUUCUGCGGAAUAGCCUCUGGAAACGGAGAGUAAUACCGCAUACGCCCUUCGGGGGAAAGAUUUAUCGGAGAAGGAUCGGCCCGCGUUAGAUUAGAUAGUUGGUGGGGUAACGGCUUACCAAGUCUACGAUCUAUAGCUGGUUUUAGAGGAUGAUCAGCAACACUGGGACUGAGACACGGCCCAGACUCCUACGGGAGGCGGCAGUGGGGAAUCUUGGACAAUGGGCGCAAGCCUGAUCCAGCCAUGCCGCGUGAGUGAAGAAGGCCUUAGGGUCGUAAAGCUCUUUCGCCUGUGAUGAUAAUGACAGUAGCAGGUAAAGAAACCCCGGCUAACUCCGUG